RNAcentral lists this ribosomal RNA (309 nucleotides) under uncultured bacterium. Its description in RNAcentral is "bacterial SSU rRNA". It matches the Rfam family "Bacterial small subunit ribosomal RNA", at positions 28 to 333 of the family's 1533-position model. The record is from RNAcentral.
GAUGAACGCUAGCGGCAGGCUUAAUACAUGCAAGUCGUGGGCAGCAUGAGUAGCAAUGCUUGAUGGCGACCGGCAAACGGGUGAGGAACACGUACACAACCUUCCCUUCAAGCGGGAAUAGCCCAGAGAAAUUUGGAUUAAUACCCCAUAAUAUAUUUGAUAAGGCAUCUUAUUAAUAUUAAAGGCUUCGGCACUUGAUGAUGGGUGUGCGGCUGAUUAGAUAGUUGGCGGGGUAACGGCCCACCAAGUCUACGAUCAGUAGCUGAUGUGAGAGCAUGAUCAGCCACACGGGCACUGAGACACGGGCCC